Molecule: non-coding RNA, 2186 nt
Organism: Macaca mulatta (Rhesus monkey)
Lineage: Eukaryota; Metazoa; Chordata; Mammalia; Primates; Cercopithecidae
Source: RefSeq, a predicted model, not a curated record
CCAUCCACCCAUCUAUCUAUCUAUCCGUCCAUCUACCCACCUAUCCAUCCAUCCAUCCAUCCAGCCCUCCAUCCAAUUAUUCAACCACAAUCCACUCUCCCAGCCUUGCACAAUCAUUCCCCAGGCUACAUACCCACCCACCCACCUGUACAUCCCCUCACCCAUCCACUCAUACAUUCAGGCAUAUAGGAUUUAUCAGACACCCACCUGCUCCACCUCAGACCAGCUCAGGUCCCAGGCAUGCCAGCAUGUCUCCAGGCUGCCCGGACUUACAUGAUUCACAUGCUCAAAGGUGAAAACAAAGAUCCGGGCCUCAGAACUGCUCAUCACGCUCUUGGAUCCUAAUUCAUAUCCAGACUUUGGCCGUGGGAGCCCUCUGUGAAUGUGUGGCGUGGGACUCCCACUGGGACAAGGAUUCCAAGGGUUUCGCUGCUAGAAUCAGCUAUGGGGGAUGGGGGGUUGUGGCAGUCAUUGAAUUGUAGGAUGGAAAUGGAGGGAUCCUAGAAAUGCCUGCUCUGACAUAUACAAGCGGUUUCCACUCAGGUCUUAGGGUUUCCUUCCAUGAUAUUUAUUCAGUGAGGAAGUGCUGAGGCCUGCAGUGCCUGGUGCUGGGCUAGGGGUGAUGAUUCAACAGGAGCAACAUGUUCAGGACUACCUCCAUCAUGGGGCUUGUUUAGGGAGGGGUGCUGCACUCUUGGCCGAUUGUCCACACCACGGUCUAGGAGCAAGGCUGCACCCAAAAAUGCUGUUUUGUGCUAAGAGGUACCUGGAGGACUGUGAAAAGGAGGCCCCUUCCCACAACCUUCCCAGGUCUGGAUGCAUUUUGGGGGGAGCAGGAGGUGAGAAGGGCUCAAAUUAAUAAGCGGUCUCUGUUUGGGGUUGUUCUGGCUGUCCUGGAGUAGGUGAGGGGAGUUGCAGGUACUGUGAAAACCCAUCGAGGACCUGGGCCAGGGCCAAUGGAGCCCUCCUGGCAGGGGGACAAGCUUCCUGCAGGUCAUGGUCAGGACUACACACCCCAGACACCCAGAAGCAGUCAGAAUCCUCUACCGAAGGCUUGCGGACUCAGCCUCGUCCGGAGCACCAGUGUGCUCAUCCAGGGGAGGAGGCCCAGAGGCCUCCAGCCAUCCUGACCUGAAUUUUAUUCAACCAAGUUCCCCACUCCACGGUUUGCAUGGUGAUGAUUUCCUAACCCAGUUGCAGAACUUUGAGCUGAUUUCUGGGAUGCCUCAGGGCUGUCUGCUGCUUGGAAGUCAGAAGGACCAGGACUUCGAUCUCUGCUGCACUGAGUCCAAGCCGUGUGACCUUGGGGACGUGGCUUCGUCUCUCUGAGCCACCUGUCCUCAACUCUACAGUGGGACAAUAAUAGCACCCACCCCACAGGGUGCAUGCACAUUCGACAAGGGAACAUGUGUUCAUGGCCAGCCCAGGCUGGGAGGAGGGGUCUCCUCCCUCUCCUCCCCCGUCCCCCUCCUGCAGCCCCCCUCCUCCCCUGUCCCCCAGAUGGGAGUGUGCAGGUCCAGCUCCCCCAGAACGCUGACAGACUGGGGCAGGCUUGGACUCAUUGUUGUCUGAAGCCUUAAGUCUUGGCUAACAUAAUUAGGAUAAUUCCAGAGAUGAGUUCUGAAAUCUCGGGGAAGAGGAAUAGGCGAGGGGAGUGAGCUGCCCUCCCAGCCUGCUUCACUGAGUGUGUUAAAUGGCAGCUCCAUGAUUUACCUUCCUAUUUACAGAGUAAGCCUCAGCGCCAGGAAGCCCUGUGUGGCAGCGGCCGCAGGACACAAGAAGAAUGAGGUGUCGGAUAAGGAGCCUGGAGCUUGGAGGGCGAGGCUGAUGGUCAUGGAGGGUGUCAUGAGACCGGGGAGUCCCACUGGGCCAGCAGGAUGGAGCCACCGUUCCCAAGCCUCAGUCGGUGUCUGUCCUCCUGUGCUCGUGUCCAGGCUCUGAUUUCUCGGCGGCUGGAUUCCUCUGCGUUCCCAUGGCCUCCCUGCUGGUUUUCUUGCUCCCCCAAGGCCGGGGGUUCCUUCUACUGAAAUUUGUCCCCUGAGAUCUGAAGAUGUUAGGAAAACACGAUUUGACGAGGCCAACACUGACUGAGGUAUGUUUGUUCACGUGUUCUUUCAUUUAUUCAUCCAAAUGACGAUGGUUUGGGUGUUCUGGGAGGUAGACUGAGACGGGGAGGCAUCCUGGGG